Molecule: non-coding RNA, 114 nt
Organism: Ixodes scapularis (black-legged tick)
Lineage: Eukaryota; Metazoa; Arthropoda; Arachnida; Ixodida; Ixodidae
Source: Rfam
GUGGGCUACGGGGACAUGCGCCCCGUCGGCGUCUGGGGCAAGAUCGUCGGCUCGCUGUGCGCCAUCGCGGGCGUGCUAACCAUCGCGCUGCCCGUGCCGGUCAUCGUGUCCAAC